This 67-nucleotide transfer RNA is filed under the name Megaceryle alcyon (belted kingfisher). RNAcentral's name for it is "tRNA-Cys". Lineage: Eukaryota; Metazoa; Chordata; Aves; Coraciiformes; Cerylidae. The record is from RNAcentral.
AGACUUUGGUGUGCCUUCAGCACACAUCGAUGAGCUUGCAACUCAACAUGAACUUCACUACAAAGCC